CUACGAGAAAUUCAACAUGGUUUGAAAGUAGUACGUAGGGUAAGGCAGGUGGUAAAAUUAAUUAAGAUUCCUCUUUCUUUUUUCCCAGCGUCUCAACCACUUCACCAUUGAGUUUAUUAUACAUACAUUUGAUCUUUUAUACUAAUCAUGCAGUUUAUAUUCAUCCACAAAUCGUUAUCACUAUGAUAUGCCGACAAAUUUAAUAUUUAGUUUGACUAUUGAGUCACUGACUAAAAAGGUUUGUUACCGAUUGGGCGUAACGAAUUUGUUGUUUUUAUUUUUAUUUUUUAAUAUUGAAAUAAAAGAUUUUACUUUUCAUUCGUGUUGGUUCCAAAUGUUGAGUAAAUAUGUUUGAGAAAAAUAAAAUUACAUUUUUUCCUCAUAUACUGAUGACACUUAAUUGUUGAAUUCCUUAACAUUUAGAAAAGAAAAGCAAUGCUCUUGAGUUUGGGGACAUAAAGGUAGCUAGCACCUCCUUUAACACACAAAUGCAUGAACAUUGAUUUUGAGGGACUUUGAUGCGGACAUCACAUUUGCUGAUGUACUUCCUGAUGGACUUGCUGAACGACUUUCUGAACGACUUGCUGAAGGACAUUCUGAACUACUUCCUGACGAGGUAAACAAAGAAAGCGAAUCAUUCAUCCAACUUGGAUCAUUCAAAUUAGGUAUUUCAAAUCCUCCAAAUGAAGAAGAAGCUUACAAAACAUCUUUGGUCGAAAUAUCAAAAGGAAGCAAAGAGAAAUCCAAUAGAAAGAAACUUUCCUUAUUCGGCUUAAUCAAAUUAGCAUUGAUUGCCAAGGAGGAUUGCUUGCUAGAAAUCCUCGAUCCACUAUUUAAUCCUGAGAAUGCACCUAGACGUCCUCAAGUCUCCCAAGACGUAAAGCUCAAUCAAUGCCGACGAUUUGUCCCUCAUCAUCACCACCAAUCAAGCAUUCUCCAUUAUGUUGAUUGAUUUGUAUUUAAUUUUGAAUAUUUUAUUUUAAUGUAGAUUAGACCAUGUAAGAGCUAUAAAAAGGCUCAUUUGUUUCAUUGUAAAGACACCACGAAAUUUGAAAGUAAUAUAAAGAGUUUUCUCUAAA
This is a long non-coding RNA of Arabidopsis lyrata subsp. lyrata, 1079 nucleotides long. RefSeq lists it as uncharacterized. Lineage: Eukaryota; Viridiplantae; Streptophyta; Magnoliopsida; Brassicales; Brassicaceae. The record is from RefSeq and is a predicted model, not a curated record. The transcript is spliced from 2 exons.